UGAUAUAGUCAUUGGUACAUACUUGGAAGA
Molecule: non-coding RNA, 30 nt
Filed under: Homo sapiens (human)
Lineage: Eukaryota; Metazoa; Chordata; Mammalia; Primates; Hominidae
Source: RNAcentral